CAAAUUUUCGAGGCUAAAGACCUAGAUGGGACGUAAGUGCGGAUCGACGCACAAGACACGGACGGACCUUGUCCUCUCGUCGCUGUCGGAACUUCAUGUUUUAUUUCAAUUUGGGAUCUUACUUGGAAUUUGUUGUCGUUAAUGGAAUUAGGAAUCGGCCACAACAACAACGUGACCAAGGAGACUAGUCAAAGUUAGCACAACAUUGUUUGUCUAACGCCAGAGCUUGGAGUUUUCCACCUUCUUGAAAUUCCACUUUAUCAUGGAUGGAUGGUUGAUCCACAGAUAUGCAUUUCAAGAUUCCUAUUUUGUCGAAAUUCAAAGUUUUGGUGAAGUAUUAUUUCCCAUUCUGGACAGUCAGCUGGAGAUUAUCUUUUCUUAGAGGAUUCUGAUACUGCAAAGGCGUUGGGAUCGAAGCCUUACAACGCACUUCUUGAAGAGGUUGCUAACUACUACGCAAGAAAUGCCCGGGGAGAAGAAAAGAACGUCCUACAAGAAGAUUGUGG
Papaver somniferum (opium poppy) is the source of this 506-nucleotide long non-coding RNA. RefSeq lists it as uncharacterized. NCBI's taxonomy places the organism in Eukaryota, Viridiplantae, Streptophyta, Magnoliopsida, Ranunculales, Papaveraceae. The transcript is spliced from 5 exons. The record is from RefSeq and is a predicted model, not a curated record.